GUUGUUGCAACCGAAUUGACUUAGCAUUUACUGCGUUUUAAAACUCAAAUCCAUUUGGUAAGGGGGCCUAAUCAUCUAAGAAAAACAGUCAUGUGAAGAAACAGGAUGCUGCAUCUGAUUGAUUUAUAAAAGCAUCAGGUUACUGAAGUUUUAGCCAGCUCAUAGGAAAAAUACUUUCCCAUUUACUCCCCAUUUCCUUCACGUCAGGAUAAACUCAUUCCCACACUACAAAAUAUGCCUUCAAAAUCCCAUACCCUGCAUGAGACCAAAUUCUUUGGCUUUUGGAGGGCUUUCUCCACAGCCUGAAAUUGAUUCCUGACAGCAGUUCCUUUGUGGCUUUGCUCAAACAAACUCGGAAUCUUUUGGCUCAUGGCACCAGCAGUAAUUGAAAGAAGAUACCACCACUGUUUUGUACAUUCAUGGAGCUGCUCAGGAGAAAUGUGCUUUCUUUCCUGAUCAAGGCUUUACUGCACUGCAAUUGUCUUUGGUCCCAUAGAGGAUUUAAUUUGUUUUUGCAAGAGGCCUGGAGACACUGGCACCUGAAGAUGACCCUAAUCCAGUGUGAAUAACCGAGGUGAUUCCCAGCUGAGCUACAGUAUCUGGUAAGGCCCACUGACUUAUAGUUCACUAUCUGGGAGCAGCUCUUCAGGGUACCAAUCAAAAGUGAGGCCCAGAUUUGCCAGUCAUCUUUCCUCUUGGUGAGUCUUGGAUCCUCUGUCCCCUUGAGGCUGCCCAAAUUGCAGCUCAGCCUCUCAGCUGUUUCCUCUGACACCAGCAAACAACUCCUGAGAUAAAGACUCCUUAAUCCACAGCCACCUGCCUGGCUUCACUUCUCCACUCACCCUGGCCCAGUGCUUCACUGAGUUAUUGGCUCUUCCAUGGUAUCUAACAGAUAUUUUGCCAUAUUUUCUAGCUGCUUUUAGUGGAAGUGUUUGUCCAAAUUACUUACCCAUUUAUUUCACAUAAGCAAGGUCAUCUUUUAAACAAAGCCCAUGAACCAAUAAAACACAACAUAAAAUGAAUUGUAAUUGGUUAGUACACAUUCGAAAGAUACCAGCUUCCUAUUAAAAAAAAAUCCAAUUUCAUAUGAGAUGAUUUCAAUGUUAAAGUAACGAAUAUUAAAGAAAUGAGGAUAAUGGAUGGAGCUCAUUAUCUCAGCUACUGCUAGUGAGAGUAAAACAGAAACUUAUCUAAAGGGAAUUUUGACAAUAUUAACAAGAAUGGUACUAUUUUUCAUACUUACUGACAGUGCAAUUCCACUGCUG
This 1265-nucleotide long non-coding RNA is filed under the name Homo sapiens (human). RNAcentral's name for it is "HSALNT0123052". The record is from RNAcentral. Lineage: Eukaryota; Metazoa; Chordata; Mammalia; Primates; Hominidae.